UACCAGCUCUCCGAGUGGUGUGGAUGUUUAUUGGGCCUAAAGCAUCCGUAGCUGGCUGGACAAGUCCCCUGUUAAAUCCACCGAUUUAAUCGUUGGUGUGCGGGGGAUACUGUUCGGCUAGGGGACGGGAGAGGCCGACGGUAUUUCCGGGGUAGGGGUGAAAUCCUAUAAUCCCGGGAAGACCACCAGUGGCGAAGGCUGUCGGCUAGAACGCGCCCGGCGGUGAGGGAUGAAAGCUGGGGGAGCGAACCGGAUUAGAUACCCGGGUAGUCCCAGCUGUAAACGAUGCAGGCUAGGUGUUUGGGCGGCCACGUGCCGCUCUAGUGCCGCAAGGAAGCUGUUAAGCCUGCCGCCUGGGGAGUACGGCCGCAAGGCUGAAACUUAAAGGAAUUGGCGGGGGAGCACCACAAGGGGUGAAGCUUGCGGUUU
Molecule: ribosomal RNA, 429 nt
Filed under: uncultured archaeon
Lineage: Archaea
Description: bacterial SSU rRNA
Rfam family: Archaeal small subunit ribosomal RNA
Source: RNAcentral